This 446-nucleotide ribosomal RNA is filed under the name uncultured bacterium. RNAcentral describes it as "partial 16S ribosomal RNA". It matches the Rfam family "Bacterial small subunit ribosomal RNA", at positions 338 to 795 of the family's 1533-position model. The record is from RNAcentral.
CCUACGGGUGGCAGCAGUCGAGAAUCAUUCACAAUGGGGGAAACCCUGAUGGUGCGACGCCGCGUGGGGGAAUGAAGGUCUUCGGAUUGUAAACCCCUUUCAUGUGGGAGCAAAUUCAAAAGAUAGUACCACAAGAGGAAGAGACGGCUAACUCUGUGCCAGCAGCCGCGGUAAUACAGAGGUCUCAAGCGGUGUUCGGAAUGACUGGGCGUAAAGCGUGCGUAGUCUGUGUCGUAAGUCGUGUGUGAAAGGCGCGGGCUCAACCCGCGGACGGCAGAUGAUACUGGGAGACUAGAGUAAUGGAGGGGGAAGCGGAAUGCGCGGUGUAGCGGUGAAAUGCGUAGAUAUCGAGAGGAACACUGGUGGCGAAGGCGGGUUCCUGGACAUUAACUGACGUUGAGGCACGAAGGCGAGGGGAGCGAAAGGGAUUAGAUACCCUUGUAGUC